GUGAGGAAUUUUCCGCAAUGGGCGAAAGCCUGACGGAGCAAUGCCGCGUGAAGGAUGAAGGCCUAUGGGUUGUAAACUUCUUUUCUCAGAAAAGAAUUAUGACGGUAUCUGAGGAAUAAGCAUCGGCUAACUCUGUGCCAGCAGCCGCGGUAAGACAGAGGAUGCAAGCGUUAUCCGGAAUGAUUGGGCGUAAAGCGUCUGUAGGUUGUUUAAAAAGUAUUCUGUCAAAGAUUAGGGCUUAACCCUAGAUAGGCAGAAUAAACUUUUAAGCUAGAGUUUGGUAGAGGCAGAGGGAAUGCCCGGUGAGGCGGUGAAAUGCGUAGAUAUCGGGAGGAACACCAAAGGCGAAGGCACUCUGCUGGGCCAAUACUAACACUGAGAGACGAAAGCGAGGGGAACAAAUGGGAUUAGAUACCCGAGUAGUCC
This 426-nucleotide ribosomal RNA is filed under the name uncultured bacterium. RNAcentral describes it as "bacterial SSU rRNA". It matches the Rfam family "Bacterial small subunit ribosomal RNA", at positions 354 to 796 of the family's 1533-position model. The record is from RNAcentral.